Long non-coding RNA from Prionailurus viverrinus (fishing cat), 3054 nucleotides. RefSeq lists it as uncharacterized. The transcript has 3 exons. The record is from RefSeq and is a predicted model, not a curated record. Lineage: Eukaryota; Metazoa; Chordata; Mammalia; Carnivora; Felidae.
CGGGAGGGCGCUGAUGGCUUUUCCAGAGAGGAAGCGGGGGAAGGUGCCAGGAAGAGAUAAGGUGGGAGGCCGCGCCGGGCCGGGGCGCGGGUCCCGGGCUCCGGGGUUUGUCCGGGUUUCCGGAGCCGCCCCCCCGCCUGGCGGGGGCACCAGGUGUCCGGCCCGACCCCGCCCCUCUGUCCCACGGUCCCGGGCCCCGGCUCCCCGCCGCUGUCCCGUCCUCCGCUUCCCCGAGGGGCCGUGGGGGCAGGAGGGCGAGGCAGAGCGGGGAGCGAGAGAUGGACAGAGAGAGGAGGCAGGGACGGGGACACAGAGACAGUCCAGGGCCCGGACGGGGGAGGAGAGAAAGGUGGAUCCCGCAGGCCUGGAGGCACCCGCUGGGCCACGCCCUCCCAAGGAGGAUUCCUGGGGUGGGGGUGGGGGUGGGGGUGGGGGCCCUGACUCACCCCCUCUCUGCUGCUCCCGCAACCACCACCUCGGGCUCUCCACCUCUCACAACCUUCCAGGCCUCCCUGCCUGCCCAGCUUCCUGCCCCACCUCCUCCCUGGCAGCCUCCCCUAAGAAUGUUCCAUUUGGCCUCCCAGAUCGCUCUCAAACCAGUGCUCUCCUCCCCCUCCCCGAGGCCCUGCUCUGAUCCAGCCUCCUCCCCGUUCCUCGGUCCCCAGCCUCCUUCCUGGUCUCUGGCCCCAGUCUCGCGGCCCUUGAAUCCACCCGCUAGAAGGCAGCCCGAGUAGGACUCCGUCCCUCCUGUGCUCCGAACCCUUCCAUGGCUCCCCAGCACCCUCCCCCCCCCCCCUUGCCAGGACGCCGCGCAGCUUCUAGGCCACAGCCCUGGGUGGUCUGACUCCCACCCACCUCCCCAGCCUCGGAUUCAGUUCCUCGCGCUGUCUACACCGGGUGCAACACUGCCAUCUUGCCUCUCUCUUGAACUGGCCAUGUGCUGAUCUCCGGUCCAGGCACUCGCUGGUCCCACUAUCUAGAAUUCCCCUCCUCACCCUGCGGUUUGCAGCUCAGACGCCCUCUCCUCCAAGAAGCCCCCUGCCCCUGCCCCCCCCCCCCCCCCAGCUCCCCAGGACGGGUAGCCCUGUGCACGCUGCGCCAUCGCUGUCUGGGGCUGGGUCUGUCUCCUCCCCUGAACUGCUCCGGAUCCUCAGUACCGCCCAACACAGGGCCAGGCACAGGGGGGUGUGGUUGAAGAAGGGUGUCUGUUCAAAGGCCCUCUGUUCAGCGGUGAACCCAGAAGCUCCAAAGUACGCAGAACGCAAGGCAGUCAUGACCGCCGCGAAGAAAACUACAGCAAGCCUUCAAGCAAGACGGGCGCGGGAGAGUUCUAAAAACGGAGGGCGGGCAAGGCAGCUUUCCUGAGCAGGUUAAGCAAAGUCUCGUUGGAGGUGAGGCGUGCGCCAAGCGGACAGCCAGGUAGGAGAGGGGCGAGGAGUGGGGGGCGCUUUCCAGGAAGCGGGAACGGUAGGUGCAAAGGCCCUGAGGUCAGAGCCAGGAGGACCGCGUGAAGGUGCAACGAAUGACGGGAAGGGAGCGCAAGAGGAGGGCGGAGAGGAAACGCAUCGUGGAGGUGGGUGGAGAGGCUGUGGGCCACUGGGGGCGGUGCGGGGGGAGGGCCACGCCACCUUGUGCCACAAUGACCCAGCCUGGAGGAAUCUGUUAGACCAGAGAACUAACCAAUCGGAGAGCCGAGAAGUCGGCGACUGGCAGCCAAGCGGACCGGACGGGGAGGCGGGACCAGGGCCGUCCCCGCCCCCGGCCACCGCUCCCCGCCCCACCCCAGUCCCCCCGCAGCGCGGCUCACCCGCACCAGCCGGGCCCUCUUCACCAGGUCGUUGAGCUUGCGCAGGGCGGCGUGGCGUGGCAGGCCCUGGAUGUCCCGGAACAGAUCCUGCUCCUCCAACUCGAAGAGGCGCCGGUUGUCGGGCACCAGGAGGGGCUGGGACCAGAAGGAGCCGAUGUAGACGCGCAGCACCUCGGGCGUGCCCACCACCUUGCCCAGCGCCCACAUGAGCGCCCCGUAGACGCGCAUCAGCUGCUGGGUCUCCACCAUGUCCGCCUUGUUGAGCACCACGCGGAUCUUGUCCUCGUGGCCCCGGAGGGCGCCGAUGGCCUCCGAGAACUCGUCCGAGAUCUCCAGCUUGUGCGCGUCGAAGAGCAGGAUGAUGAGGUCCACGCGCUCCGCGAACCAGCGCAGCACGGCCGGGAAAUCGUAGCCUGGGGGCCGAUCCACACGUAUAGGUUGUCAAAAUACUGAAGUGUUUCUUAACAGACUCUCCGUGCUUCUAUGACACCCCCCACCCCUCCGCGAGUCUCCCAAGUGCCACCAUCACCCCAGCCCCGUCCUAGGACUUCUGGAUCUCCCCACAAUCCAGCCACCAAAGAGGUCACGUUGGCUCUGGCUAUGCUUUUGCUAGAACAGAUGGUAAAUAUUUUGAGUUUAUUUAACAGUAUUUACAUCUCUGUAAUGUAAACAGUAUUUACAGCUCUUCUGUGUGCCAGGCUCUAGCCUGGGCACCAGGGAUGCCACAGAGAACACAGAGACAGGUCCUUGCCUUUCGUGGAGUAUCUGGCUCGACAACUGGUUCCUGUAUUCCUUCCUCCCUUCCUUCCUUCCUUCCUUCCUUCCUUCCUCAUUCACUCGUUCGUUCACACUGUUCACUCUUCUGCUGCUCGCUUGUUCACUCAAACAGCGAUGCUCAGGGGAGCAGAGAGGAGUGUUGGCAACCCCCUGACGUGGCAGCCAGGAAGACCUGGGUUUGAAUCCCGACUCUGCCCCCCACCCCACCCACAGCUGUGUGACCUUAAGCGAGUAGGAAACCUCUCUGAACUUGCGUGGCCUCUUCUGUAAAAUGGAAGUCGUGACGGAACAUCACCUGUCGGACUGUGGUGAGGACAAGGGAAUAGAAACGAGCCAAUAUACAUAAAGAGCCGAAGGGGCGCCCGGGUGGCUCAGUCCGUUGAGCAUCUGAUUCUUGAUCUGGGCUCAGGUCAUGAGCCCAGGGUCAUGGGAUCAAGCUCCAGUUUGGGCUCCCGUGCUGAUCUCUCUCU